GGCUUCCAUAGGCCAGGUACUAUGUCCCCAGAGAGGAACAUAGUACCUGCCCAAGGCCUCACCCCUAGGAAGUGACAGAACUUAGUCAGUGGAGUCUCUGACACACACAGACUUAGUGGCUGCCAGGAUUGUGGAAAAGUAGCCAGGGUAUCGAUUUUCCAACUCUUGCAGAAAACCUCUUGGAUCCUCCUUGAGACCAGUCCAUGGCACUCAACGGAUCUCAGAAAUGACACUCUCCUGGGAACAUUUGGCCUGGAACAUAUUUACAAAACUCCAGAGGGGAUAGAAAUAUCCCAACCCACUCCCUACAGACUCAAAUUAGCAAUUUUCUUCUUCUUUAUAACCCCUCUGGAAAUUUGAACUAUGUAAUAUUAGUCUAAAAUUAGGAGCAUAAGUCACAAGAGAAAAGUGCCACUACUUUGGGAGAAAAUAUUUUCGUAGCCUCAUCCUGAGCAUUUGUUCUAAAUCAGAACACAGCAAUGGCUCUUUCAAACACAUAAAUUUUUUUUUUCUCCUAAUACUUGUGGAUUGGGGCAAACAUCUUUUCAGAGAUGUUUUUCUGUUGGCAGUACUGGGAUUGAAACCAGGGGUGCUCCACAGCCCCAGCCCCUUUUAUAUAUUUGAGACAGGGUCUCAUUAAGUUGCUGAGGCUGGCCUCCAACUUGCGAUCCUCCUGCCUCAGCCUCUGUAAAGACAUUGGAUCAGGAAGAGCCAAGGGCCCCCCAGGAUGCCUUUCUUACACAAAGGUACUUUAGUUUUAAAAUUUGAUUAGUUAACUUUUUGUGUGAUGGUGGGGACAGAACCCAGGGCCUUAUACAUGCUAGGCAAAUGCUCUACCACUGAGCCACAACCCCAGACCACAAAGAGCACCUUAAUAAUAACAACCCCAGCAAGGCUCUGCAGCCAGUACUGGUUGACAUGUGCCAAGAAAACCAUGCAGAAGUGUUUUACAACCGUCAUUACACUUAAUCCUCACGAUAGCCCUGCAAGAUGGGUUCUGUCACCCUGUUUUACACACCAGGGCAAUUUGAAGUGGUUAAGAGAUUGGCCAGAGCCAUAUGGCUACGGAACCAGACGUUGUGGAGUUAGAAUUUUAACCCAAGUCAGCAGAACGCUGAAGUCGACAUCAAGAUGCAGUUGCCAUUUAUUGAACACCUACUGCCUGUUCACAGAAAGGACUUUAUUUUUCUAAUUAAAUUAUUUGUGUGCGCUUGUGCAGUGCUGGCGAGCUAAACCAGGACCCUGAGCUUGCUAGACAUAGGUGUCACUGUCACUGAGCAACACCACCACCAGGUCUCAUUUUCUAGAAUCCCAUGACAAACGCAGAGCCUUUCUGGAAAAGUUGGGUGGGCAGGUUUUGAGUUAUGGGUGACCAGGGGUAAUGGUGCCCAACACUGGGCCAAAAGAUUGUAACUUGGGUUAGAGGGACUGAAGUGGGAAAGAACCCUCAGGGGGCAGUCAUACGUGCGUGGUGUGUGUGACUCAGAGGCAGAGCCGGGACCAAGGGCUGAUGGUCAUCCCCAGAGCAUCCAUGCCUUCGGGAAGUUGUGCAGGGGCCGGACAAGCAGUUGGAAGCAUCGUAGAGGGGAUUUCUACUUGGGAAGCACUGACUUUUGGGGAAGUGAGCUUUCCAAAUUUCAGAUUGGAUCCUAUCCCCUUUCUGCUUGGCAACAUCUACUGGAUCCCAACGGUCUGCAAAUCCAAUCCAAGAUGGCGCCUCUCCAUGAAGAAGGUUUGUAGUAGAUAUCAAGUCAUCAGGGCCUGGCUUCGGUCACCUCAAAGAAGUCAUGAAAAAAAAAA
Non-coding RNA from Ictidomys tridecemlineatus (thirteen-lined ground squirrel), 1800 nucleotides. The record is from RefSeq and is a predicted model, not a curated record. NCBI's taxonomy places the organism in Eukaryota, Metazoa, Chordata, Mammalia, Rodentia, Sciuridae.